UAGAGUUAUAAAACUCCCAACCCAUGUGAACUUACCACUGUUGCCUCGGCGGACCUACCCUGUAGCGACCUACCCUGUAGCGAGUUACCCUGUAACGACCUACCCAGUAGCGACCUCUCGGCAGCUCUCCGCCGGCGGACUUUCAAACUAUUGUUAUCCGAGUCAUCUGAGCGUCUUAUUUUAAAUAAGUCA
This 192-nucleotide unclassified non-coding RNA is filed under the name uncultured Xylariales. Its description in RNAcentral is "sequence contains ITS1". The record is from RNAcentral. Lineage: Eukaryota; Fungi; Ascomycota; Sordariomycetes; Xylariales.